This 402-nucleotide ribosomal RNA is filed under the name uncultured Lachnospiraceae bacterium. RNAcentral describes it as "partial 16S ribosomal RNA". It matches the Rfam family "Bacterial small subunit ribosomal RNA", at positions 355 to 774 of the family's 1533-position model. The record is from RNAcentral. Lineage: Bacteria; Bacillati; Bacillota; Clostridia; Lachnospirales; Lachnospiraceae.
UGGGGAAUAUUGCACAAUGGGGGAAACCCUGAUGCAGCGACGCCGCGUGAAGGAUGAAGUAUUUCGGUAUGUAAACUUCUAUCAGCAGGGAAGAAAAUGACGGUACCUGACUAAGAAGCCCCGGCUAACUACGUGCCAGCAGCCGCGGUAAUACGUAGGGGGCAAGCGUUAUCCGGAUUUACUGGGUGUAAAGGGAGCGUAGACGGCUGUGCAAGUCUGAUGUGAAAACCCGGGGCUCAACCCCGGGACUGCAUUGGAAACUGUGCAGCUAGAGUGUCGGAGAGGUAAGUGGAAUUCCUAGUGUAGCGGUGAAAUGCGUAGAUAUUAGGAGGAACACCAGUGGCGAAGGCGACUUACUGGACGAUUACUGACGUUGAGGCUCGAAAGCGUGGGGAGCAAACA